GGAUUAGAUACCCUAUUAUAUUAUAACCUAGUUUAAAUUAUUAAGGUUAAUAAAAAAAUUAAAAAUUUUGGCGGUUAAUUAUAGAAUUAGAGGAGCUUGUUUUAAUAAGAAUUUACUCUUUAAAUUUUAAUAUUAAAUUUGGUUUAUUCAUUUCUGUUUUAAAGGUUUUUAAAAUAAAUUUUAUUUAAAAUUUCAGGUCAAGAUGUAAUAUUUUAGUAUAAGGAAAUUAGCUACAAUUAUUUAAUUAUUGAAUAUAAAUUUAAAAAAUUUUUUUAAAAUUGAAUUUAGUUGUAAUAAAGAUUUAGAAUAUUAUUAUGAUAAAUAUUAAUUAAUGUACAUAUCGCCCGUCACUCA
RNAcentral lists this ribosomal RNA (354 nucleotides) under Despirus parvulus. RNAcentral's name for it is "partial small subunit ribosomal RNA". Lineage: Eukaryota; Metazoa; Arthropoda; Arachnida; Opiliones; Gonyleptidae. The record is from RNAcentral.